Molecule: transfer RNA, 87 nt
Filed under: Daphnia magna
Lineage: Eukaryota; Metazoa; Arthropoda; Branchiopoda; Diplostraca; Daphniidae
Rfam family: tRNA
About the family: Transfer RNA (tRNA) molecules are approximately 80 nucleotides in length. Their secondary structure includes four short double-helical elements and three loops (D, anti-codon, and T loops). Further hydrogen bonds mediate the characteristic L-shaped molecular structure. tRNAs have two regions of fundamental functional importance: the anti-codon, which is responsible for specific mRNA codon recognition, and the 3' end, to which the tRNAs corresponding amino acid is attached (by aminoacyl-tRNA synthetases). tRNAs cope with the degeneracy of the genetic code in two manners: having more than one tRNA (with a specific anti-codon) for a particular amino acid; and 'wobble' base-pairing, i.e. permitting non-standard base-pairing at the 3rd anti-codon position.
Source: Rfam by way of RNAcentral
GCCUUCUUAGCUCAGAGGUAGAGCGUUGGUCUCGUAUUCAACUAUUAAGUUAACCAAAGGUCGGGAGUUCAAUCCUCCCAGGAGGCA